Molecule: ribosomal RNA, 253 nt
Filed under: uncultured bacterium
Lineage: Bacteria
Description: partial 16S ribosomal RNA
Rfam family: Bacterial small subunit ribosomal RNA
Source: RNAcentral
UACGAGAGGCCCAAACAUUAUUCGGAAUUACUGGGCUUAAAGAGUUCGUAGGCGGCAUGGAAAGUAGGGUGUGAAAUCCCUCGGCUCAACCGAGGAAUUGCGCUCUAAACUGCCGUGCUAGAGGAAGCUAGAGGUGAGCGGAACUGAUGGUGGAGCGGUGAAAUGCGUUGAUAUCGGGAGGAACACCUAUGGCGAAGGCAGCUCGCUGGGACGUUACUGACGCUGAGACGCGAAAGCGUGGGGAGCAAACAGG